This 458-nucleotide ribosomal RNA is filed under the name uncultured Pseudomonas sp. RNAcentral's name for it is "bacterial SSU rRNA". It matches the Rfam family "Bacterial small subunit ribosomal RNA", at positions 925 to 1382 of the family's 1533-position model. The record is from RNAcentral. Lineage: Bacteria; Pseudomonadati; Pseudomonadota; Gammaproteobacteria; Pseudomonadales; Pseudomonadaceae.
ACAAGCGGUGGAGCAUGUGGUUAAUUCGAAGCAACGCGAAGAACCUUACCAGGCCUUGACAUGCAGAGAACUUUCCAGAGAUGGAUUGGUGCCUUCGGGAACUCUGACACAGGUGCUGCAUGGCUGUCGUCAGCUCGUGUCGUGAGAUGUUGGGUUAAGUCCCGUAACGAGCGCAACCCUUGUCCUUAGUUACCAGCACGUUAUGGUGGGCACUCUAAGGAGACUGCCGGUGACAAACCGGAGGAAGGUGGGGGAUGACGUCAAGUCAUCAUGGCCCUUACGGCCUGGGCUACACACGUGCUACAAUGGUCGGUACAAAGGGUUGCCAAGCCGUGAGGUGGAGCUAAUCCCAUAAAACCGAUCGUAGUCCGGAUCGCAGUCUGCAACUCGACUGCGUGAAGUCGGAAUCGCUAGUAAUCGUGAAUCAGAAUGUCACGGUGAAUACGUUCCCGGGCCUU